RNAcentral lists this ribosomal RNA (253 nucleotides) under uncultured bacterium. Its description in RNAcentral is "partial 16S ribosomal RNA". It matches the Rfam family "Bacterial small subunit ribosomal RNA", at positions 524 to 776 of the family's 1533-position model. The record is from RNAcentral.
UACGUAGGGACCAAGCGUUGUCCGGAAUCAUUGGGCGUAAAGAGCGUGUAGGCGGCCUGUUAAGUCUUGCGUGAAAUCUCGGGGCUCAACCCCGAGCGGUCGUGAGAAACUGGCAGGCUAGAGUGCGGGAGAGGAGAGUGGAAUUCCUGGUGUAGCGGUGAAAUGCGCAGAUAUCAGGAAGAACACCCGUGGCGAAGGCGACUUCCUGGCCUGUUCUUGACGCUGAGGCGCGAAAGCUAGGGGAGCAAACGGG